CGCAGUGUGAGCACACACUAUACCCUAUGCACAAACCGGCUUAUACUUUCAUAAAAGUUCAGCAUCGCCGAAAAGCAGGACUCUGGACUCUCUUAACAUAAGCUGAGCCCCCUCUUAAGAUUUACUAAAUGAUCGGGUCAUGAACAUGCCUGCAAAGUGUCAACACACUGACGCGUUUUGGAAUGUGCAUACAAAAUUUCUAUUACGAUUAUGAUGUUUUCGGGUAAGUUUGCAUACUUUCAUGGUUAAAGGCUUUUUUGCCUUCAUUUAGAUAGGACAGCAUGAGGACAGAGGAAAUCAGUGGAGAGGAGACAGGGGAAUUGGACCUAGAAAGGACCUUGAGUCUGGACUCUAAUUUGGGUCACCUGAAGUGCAAGCGCACUGUAUGUCGGAGCACAUGCCCACGUGGCUAUGGCUCUGACAUAAAAACAAUUUUUUAUUUUUUUAAUGUAUUUUGCUAUACAGUACCA
This is a long non-coding RNA of Ctenopharyngodon idella (grass carp), 470 nucleotides long. RefSeq lists it as uncharacterized. The record is from RefSeq and is a predicted model, not a curated record. The transcript is spliced from 3 exons. NCBI's taxonomy places the organism in Eukaryota, Metazoa, Chordata, Actinopteri, Cypriniformes, Xenocyprididae.